CUUAUUGGUACUAUAGUAUUGCCAGUCUAAUCUAUUGGAUGGUCUUAUUGGUACUAUAGUAUUGCCAGUCUAAUCUAUUGGAUGGUCUUAUAGGUACUAUAGUAUUGCCAGUCUAAUCUAUUGGAUGGUCUUAUAGGUACUAUAGUAUUGCCAGCCUAAUCUAUUGGAUGGUCUUAUAGGUACUAUAGUAUUGCCAGUCUAAUCUAUUGGAUGGUCUUAUUGGUACUAUAGUAUUGCCAGUCUAAUCUAUUGGAUGGUCUUAUUGGUACUAUAGUAUUGCCAGUCUAAUCUAUUGGAUGGUCUUAUAGGUACUAUAGUAUUGCCAGUCUAAUCUAUUGGAUGGUCUUAUAGGUACUAUAGUAUUGCCAGUCUGAUCUCGGGAG
Molecule: long non-coding RNA, 383 nt
Organism: Oncorhynchus keta (chum salmon)
Lineage: Eukaryota; Metazoa; Chordata; Actinopteri; Salmoniformes; Salmonidae
Exons: 3
Source: RefSeq, a predicted model, not a curated record